GAUGAACGCUGGCGGCGUGCCUAAUACAUGCAAGUCGAGCGAACAGACGAGGAGCUUGCUCCUCUGACGUUAGCGGCGGACGGGUGAGUAACACGUGGAUAACCUACCUAUAAGACUGGGAUAACUUCGGGAAACCGGAGCUAAUACCGGAUAAUAUAUUGAACCGCAUGGUUCAAUAGUGAAAGACGGUUUUGCUGUCACUUCUAGAUGGAUCCGCGCCGCAUUAGCUAGUUGGUAAGGUAACGGCUUACCAAGGCAACGAUGCGUAGCCGACCUGAGAGGGUGAUCGGCCACACUGGAACUGAGACACGGUCCAGACUCCUACGGGAGGCAGCAGUAGGGAAUCUUCCGCAAUGGGCGAAAGCCUGACGGAGCAACGCCGCGUGAGUGAUGAAGGUCUUCGGAUCGUAAAACUCUGUUAUUAGGGAAGAACGAAUGUGUAAGUAACUAUGCACGUCUUGACGGUACCUAAUCAGAAAGCCACGGCUAACUACGUG
Molecule: ribosomal RNA, 497 nt
Filed under: uncultured bacterium
Lineage: Bacteria
Description: partial 16S ribosomal RNA
Rfam family: Bacterial small subunit ribosomal RNA
Source: RNAcentral